AAAAGAAAGAAAGAAAAA
This 18-nucleotide small RNA is filed under the name Arabidopsis thaliana (thale cress). Its description in RNAcentral is "ATSL125140". The record is from RNAcentral. Lineage: Eukaryota; Viridiplantae; Streptophyta; Magnoliopsida; Brassicales; Brassicaceae.